CCGAUGGUCGAUUUUUUACUCCACAUCGGAGUAGAUUACACCCAGACACUUUAGAGGCAUUGAUGUGUGUUCAAGAUUGGCUAUGGAGUGACAUACAAGGUUCUUCAAAAUUGAAAGUGGAUAACAAGAAGCUUAAUACAAUACUAGAGGAGAUAAUUGAUGAUGAUGAAUUAAGUGGUCAAAAUGAAGAUGUGGGAGAACAAACAUAAAUCUUGAAGUGUUAUUUUUAGAACAAUUAUUUGAAUUUAUGUUUUAAUUUGUACUAAUUUGAAUUAAUUUGUAUUAAUUUGAA
Molecule: non-coding RNA, 292 nt
Organism: Vigna umbellata (rice bean)
Lineage: Eukaryota; Viridiplantae; Streptophyta; Magnoliopsida; Fabales; Fabaceae
Source: RefSeq, a predicted model, not a curated record